ACAUAGCAUCAAGAGUAGGACUUGUUCCUCACCAACCUGCAACUCCAAAGCAAGGUGGUCAAUAGAUGCGGCAAUCGCAAACAAUUGGAGAACA
RNAcentral lists this non-coding RNA (94 nucleotides) under unclassified sequences. RNAcentral's name for it is "SAM-I-IV sequence". It matches the Rfam family "SAM-I/IV (S-adenosyl methionine) riboswitch aptamer". Rfam says of the family: It is found upstream of a number of genes which code for proteins involved in methionine or cysteine biosynthesis. It has been found mostly in the order Actinomycetales. The record is from Rfam by way of RNAcentral.